GAUGAACGCUGGCGGCGUGCCUAAUACAUGCAAGUCGAGCGAACAGACGAGGAGCUUGCUCCUCUGACGUUAGCGGCGGACGGGUGAGUAACACGUGGAUAACCUACCUAUAAGACUGGGAUAACUUCGGGAAACCGGAGCUAAUACCGGAUAAUAUAUUGAACCGCAUGGUUCAAUAGUGAAAGACGGUUUUGCUGUCACUUAUAGAUGGAUCCGCGCCGCAUUAGCUAGUUGGUAAGGUAACGGCUUACCAAGGCAACGAUGCGUAGCCGACCUGAGAGGGUGAUGGGCCACACUGGAACUGAGACACGGUCCAGACUCCUACGGGAGGCAGCAGUAGGGAAUCUACCGCAAUGGGCGAAAGCCUGACGGAGCAACGCCGCGUGAGUGAUGAAGGUCUUCGGAUCGUAAAACUCUGUUAUUAGGGAAGAACAAAUGUGUAAGUAACUAUGCACGUCUUGACGGUACCUAAUCAGAAAGCCACGGCUAACUACGUG
This 497-nucleotide ribosomal RNA is filed under the name uncultured bacterium. Its description in RNAcentral is "partial 16S ribosomal RNA". It matches the Rfam family "Bacterial small subunit ribosomal RNA", at positions 28 to 507 of the family's 1533-position model. The record is from RNAcentral.